AUACGGAGGGUGCAAGCGUUAAUCGGAAUUACUGGGCGUAAAGCGCACGCAGGCGGUCUGUCAAGUCGGAUGUGAAAUCCCCGGGCUCAACCUGGGAACUGCAUUCGAAACUGGCAGGCUAGAGUCUUGUAGAGGGGGGUAGAAUUCCAGGUGUAGCGGUGAAAUGCGUAGAGAUCUGGAGGAAUACCGGUGGCGAAGGCGGCCCCCUGGACAAAGACUGACGCUCAGGUGCGAAAGCGUGGGGAGCAAACAGGAUUAGAUACCCUGGUAGUCCACGCCGUAAACGAUGUCGAUUUGGAGGUUGUGCCCUUGAGGCGUGGCUUCCGGAGCUAACGCGUUAAAUCGACCGCCUGGGGAGUACGGCCGCAAGGUUAAAACUCAAAUGAAUUGACGGGGGCCCGCACAAGCGGUGGAGCAUGUGGUUUAAUUCGAUGCAACGCGAAGAACCUUACCUGGUCUUGACAUCCACAGAACUUUCCAGAGAUGGAUUGGUGCCUUCGGGAACUGUGAGACAGGUGCUGCAUGGCUGUCGUCAGCUCGUGUUGUGAAAUGUUGGGUUAAGUCCCGCAACGAGCGCAACCCUUAUCCUUUGUUGCCAGCGGUCCGGCCGGGAACUCAAAGGAGACUGCCAGUGAUAAACUGGAGGAAGGUGGGGAUGACGUCAAGUCAUCAUGGCCCUUACGACCAGGGCUACACACGUGCUACAAUGGCAUAUACAAAGAGAAGCGACCUCGCGAGAGCAAGCGGACCUCAUAAAGUAUGUCGUAGUCCGGAUUGGAGUCUGCAACUCGACUCCAUGAAGUCGGAAUCGCUAGUAAUCGUAGAUCAGAAUGCUACGGUGAAUACGUUCCCGGGCCUUGUACACACCGCCCGUCACACCAUGGGAGUGGGUUGCAAAAGAAGUAGGUAGCUUAACCUUCGGGAGGGCGCUUACCACUUUGUGAUUC
RNAcentral lists this ribosomal RNA (947 nucleotides) under Klebsiella pneumoniae. RNAcentral's name for it is "bacterial SSU rRNA". It matches the Rfam family "Bacterial small subunit ribosomal RNA", at positions 523 to 1470 of the family's 1533-position model. Lineage: Bacteria; Pseudomonadati; Pseudomonadota; Gammaproteobacteria; Enterobacterales; Enterobacteriaceae. The record is from RNAcentral.